This 785-nucleotide ribosomal RNA is filed under the name uncultured bacterium. Its description in RNAcentral is "bacterial SSU rRNA". It matches the Rfam family "Bacterial small subunit ribosomal RNA", at positions 31 to 805 of the family's 1533-position model. The record is from RNAcentral.
AGACGCUGGCGGCGCGUUUUAGCAUGCAAGUCGAACGGUAGCGGGGCUUCGGCCCUGUGAGAGUGGCGAACGGGUGAGUAACACGUAGGUGAUCUGCCCUUGAGUUGGGGAUAGCCCAUGGAAACAUGGGGUAAUACCGAAUAGGUUCGGGGGGCUGUGGCUUUCCGAGCAAAGGCGCUUCGGCGCCGCUUGAGGAUGAGCCUGCGGCUGAUUAGCUAGUUGGUAGGGUAAGAGCCUACCAAGGCGACGAUCAGUAGCCGGCCUGAGAGGGUGAACGGCCACACUGGGACUGAGAUACGGCCCAGACUCCUACGGGAGGCAGCAGCUAAGAAUCUUCUGCAAUGGGGGAAACCCUGACAGAGCGACGCCGCGUGGGUGAUGAAGGCCGGAAGGUUGUAAAGCCCUUUUCUAUCCGAGGAAUAACGGCAGGAGGCAAUGCCUGGCGGAUGACGGUAGGGUAGGAAUAAGCCCCGGCCAAUUACGUGCCAGCAGCCGCGGUAACACGUAUGGGGCGAGCGUUGUUCGGAAUCAUUGGGCGUAAAGGGCGCGUAGGCGGAUGUGCAAGCUUGGUGUGAAAGCCCGCAGCUUAACUGCGGAGGCGCGCUGAGAACUGCGCCAUCUGGAGUUCAAGAGGGGAAGCUGGAAUUCCUGGGUGUAGGGGUGAAAUCUGUAGAGAUCAGGAAGAACAUCGGUGGCGAAGGCGAGCUUCUGGCUAUGAACUGACGCUGAGGCGCGAAAGCGUGGGGAGCGAACAGGAUUAGAUACCCUGGUAGUCCACGCUGUAA